Trichonephila clavata is the source of this 72-nucleotide non-coding RNA. The record is from the annotation of a GenBank genome assembly. NCBI's taxonomy places the organism in Eukaryota, Metazoa, Arthropoda, Arachnida, Araneae, Nephilidae.
GUCCCAGUAGGGCAAUGGAUAGCUCGUUCGUCUUCUACUCCGAAAUCGUGGGUUCGAAUCCCACCUGGGAUG